RNAcentral lists this ribosomal RNA (1465 nucleotides) under metagenome. RNAcentral describes it as "bacterial LSU rRNA". It matches the Rfam family "Bacterial large subunit ribosomal RNA", at positions 1278 to 2871 of the family's 2925-position model. The record is from RNAcentral.
CAGAUCAGAAGCGAGAAUGUUGACAUGAGUAGCGAUAAAGAGGGUGAGAGACCCUCUCGCCGUAAGUCCAAGGGUUCCUGCUUAAAGCUAAUCUGAGCAGGGUAAGCCGGCCCCUAAGGCGAGGCCGAAAGGCGUAGUCGAUGGGAACCACGUUAAUAUUCGUGGGCCAGGAGGAAGUGACGGAUCUCGAAGGUAGUUUGCCCUUAUCGGAUUGGGUGGGCUGCUCAGAGGUUCCAGGAAAUAGCCCUCCAUCAGACCGUACCCUAAACCGACACAGGUGGACUGGUAGAGUAUACCAAGGCGCUUGAGAGAACCACGUUAAAGGAACUCGGCAAAAUGCCUCCGUAAGUUCGCGAGAAGGAGGCCCCAUAUGUGCGCAAGCAUGUGUGGGGGGCACAAACUAGGGGGUGGCGACUGUUUACUUAAAACACAGGGCUGUGCGAAGCCAUAAGGCGACGUAUACAGUCUGACGCCUGCCCGGUGCUGGAAGGUUAAAAGGAGGGGUGCAAGCUCUGAAUUGAAGCCCCAGUAAACGGCGGCCGUAACAAUAACGGUCCUAAGGUAGCGAAAUUCCUUGUCGGGUAAGUUCCGACCUGCACGAAUGGCGUAACGAUCUCCCCGCUGUCUCUAACGUGGACUCAGCGAAAUUGAACUGUGUGUCAAGAUGCACACUACCCGCGGUUAGACGGAAAGACCCCAUGCACCUUUACUCCAGCUUUGCACUGGUAUCAGGAUUGUGAUGUGCAGGAUAGGUGGUAGGCAUCGAAGCGGGGACGCCAGUUCUCGUGGAGCCUCCCUUGAGAUACCACCCUUCGCCAUCUUGAUAUCUAACCGCGGCCCGUUAUCCGGGUCCGGGACCCUGCAUGGUGGGGAGUUUGACUGGGGCGGUCGCCUCCCAAACAGUAACGGAGGCGCGCGAAGGUAGGCUCAGACCGGUCGGAAAUCGGUCGUUGAGUGCAAUGGCAGAAGCCUGCCUGACUGCAAGUCUGACAAGACGAGCAGAGACGAAAGUCGGUCAUAGUGAUCCGGUGGUCCCAAGUGGGAGGGCCAUCGCUCAACGGAUAAAAGGUACGCUGGGGAUAACAGGCUGAUGAUGCCCAAGAGUCCAUAUCGACGGCAUCGUUUGGCACCUCGAUGUCGGCUCAUCUCAUCCUGGGGCUGGAGCAGGUCCCAAGGGUAUGGCUGUUCGCCAUUUAAAGAGGUACGUGAGCUGGGUUUAGAACGUCGUGAGACAGUUCGGUCCCUAUCUGCCGUGGGUGUAGGAGACUUGAGAAGAGUUGCCCCUAGUACGAGAGGACCGGGGUGAACGAACCACUGGUGGACCAGUUGUCGUGCCAACGGCAGUGCUGGGUAGCUAUGUUCGGACAGGAUAACCGCUGAAGGCAUCUAAGCGGGAAGCCCCCUUCAAAACAAGGUCUCCCUUGAGAGCCGUGGAAGACCACCACGUCGAUAGGCCGGAGGUGUA